GUUUAAUUACUUAAUUAUAUGCUUAUCUCUUCUGACAAGUUCAAGGGGACGAACUUAACCCAUACUGUGCUGCCUACGGACUUCAGGAAUUGAAAUUUUCAGAAAUGAUAUGCAGUGUGGAAGAAACAAAACAAGAGAUGGAAUCUAGACUGGACUCAGAGAGAAGACACAUGGUCCAGAAGGAGUCUUUUACAGGCCGAAAUAGAAGAUCUAAAAGGAGCAGGAGGAGUGAAGAAUCUGCUCUGGCUAUGAAAUGCCCCUCGGCCACCACGAUUUCCUGGAAACCCACCACGAGAUGAAACUUUUUGGGUAACCUUUGGAGGUCUCUUAGGUUGAGGAAUUCCAACUUGAGGGA
This is a long non-coding RNA of Hyla sarda, 355 nucleotides long. RefSeq lists it as uncharacterized. Lineage: Eukaryota; Metazoa; Chordata; Amphibia; Anura; Hylidae. The transcript is spliced from 3 exons. The record is from RefSeq and is a predicted model, not a curated record.